GGGCCGUUAGCUCAGUCGGUCAGAGCAGUGGACUCAUAAUCCAUUGGUCGCAGGUUCGAGCCCUGCACGGCCCACCA
RNAcentral lists this transfer RNA (77 nucleotides) under Burkholderiales bacterium. RNAcentral's name for it is "tRNA-Ile". It matches the Rfam family "tRNA". Rfam says of the family: Transfer RNA (tRNA) molecules are approximately 80 nucleotides in length. Their secondary structure includes four short double-helical elements and three loops (D, anti-codon, and T loops). Further hydrogen bonds mediate the characteristic L-shaped molecular structure. tRNAs have two regions of fundamental functional importance: the anti-codon, which is responsible for specific mRNA codon recognition, and the 3' end, to which the tRNAs corresponding amino acid is attached (by aminoacyl-tRNA synthetases). tRNAs cope with the degeneracy of the genetic code in two manners: having more than one tRNA (with a specific anti-codon) for a particular amino acid; and 'wobble' base-pairing, i.e. permitting non-standard base-pairing at the 3rd anti-codon position. The record is from RNAcentral. Lineage: Bacteria; Pseudomonadati; Pseudomonadota; Betaproteobacteria; Burkholderiales.